UGGGGAAUUUUGGACAAUGGGGGAAACCCGUGAUCCAGCCAUCCCGCGUGUGCGAUGAAGGCCUUCGGGUUGUAAAGCACUUUUGGCAGGAAAGAAACGUCGCGGGUUAAUACCCGCGAACAUGACGGUACCUGCAGAAUAAGCACCGGCUAACUACGUGCCAGCAGCCGCGGUAAUACGUAGGGUGCAAGCGUUAAUCGGAAUUACUGGGCGUAAAGCGUGCGCAGGCGGUUCGGAAAGAAAGAUGUGAAAUCCCAGAGCUUAACUUUGGAACUGCAUUUUUAACUACCGGGCUAGAGUGUGUCAGAGGGAGGUGGAAUUCCGCGUGUAGCAGUGAAAUGCGUAGAUAUGCGGAGGAACACCGAUGGCGAAGGCAGCCUCCUGGGAUAACACUGACGCUCAUGCACG
This 408-nucleotide ribosomal RNA is filed under the name uncultured bacterium. RNAcentral describes it as "partial 16S ribosomal RNA". It matches the Rfam family "Bacterial small subunit ribosomal RNA", at positions 355 to 755 of the family's 1533-position model. The record is from RNAcentral.